UAUUAAAGUUGUUGCGGUUAAAAAGCUCGUAGUUGGAUUUCUGCAUGGAAGAAGCGGUCCACCCUUUGGGUGAGUUACUGCUACCCUUUGUGCAUCUUUCUGAGAAGGCGUUCUUCUCUUCAUUGAGAGGCCGCAUGACUCAGAACGUUUACUUUGAGGAAAUGAGAGUGUUUCAAUCAGGCAAAUGCCUUGAAUACGUUAGCAUGGAAUAAUAGCAUCGGACCAUCGUCCAGCUGUUGGUGUCUGGGCGAAGGUAAAGGUGAAUAGGGAUUGUUGGGGGCAUUCGUAUUUAACUGUCAGAGGUGAAAUUCUUGGAUUUGUUGAAGACGGACUACUGCGAAAGCAUCUGCCAAAGAUGUUCUCAUUGAUCAAGAACGAAAGUUAGGUGAUCGAAGACGAUCAGAUACCGUCCUAGUCUUAACCAUAAACUAUGCCGACUGGAGAUAGGAAGCGUUUAUUUACCGACUCUUUCUGCAUCUUGAGAGAAAUCAAAGUCUUUGGGUUCCGGGGGGAGUAUGGUCGCAAGGCUGAAACUUAAAGGAAUUGACGG
This 550-nucleotide ribosomal RNA is filed under the name uncultured alveolate. RNAcentral describes it as "SSU rRNA". It matches the Rfam family "Eukaryotic small subunit ribosomal RNA", at positions 602 to 1159 of the family's 1831-position model. The record is from RNAcentral.